Molecule: ribosomal RNA, 253 nt
Filed under: uncultured bacterium
Lineage: Bacteria
Description: partial 16S ribosomal RNA
Rfam family: Bacterial small subunit ribosomal RNA
Source: RNAcentral
UACGAAGGGUGCAAGCGUUAAUCGGAAUUACUGGGCGUAAAGGGUGCGUAGGUGGUUGGGUAAGUUUGAUGUGAAAGCUCUGGGCUCAACCCAGAAAUGGCAUUGAAUACUAUCCAACUAGAGGAGUGGAGGGGGGACUGGAAUACUUGGUGUAGCAGUGAAAUGCGUAGAUAUCAAGUGGAACACCAGUGGCGAAGGCGAGUCCCUGGACACUUCCUGACACUGAGGCACGAAAGCUAGGGGAGCAAACAGG